UCUGGCUGUAUGGCCCCCCUC
RNAcentral lists this microRNA (21 nucleotides) under Echinops telfairi (small Madagascar hedgehog). RNAcentral describes it as "Ete-Mir-3085_3p (mature (guide))". Lineage: Eukaryota; Metazoa; Chordata; Mammalia; Afrosoricida; Tenrecidae. The record is from RNAcentral.